UAGAGAGUAGUUUAAGUAGUAAAAUGCUGGCUUUGGGGGCCAGAGAUGGUGUAUCCCUCUUUGA
This 64-nucleotide transfer RNA is filed under the name Protobothrops kaulbacki. RNAcentral's name for it is "tRNA-Pro". The record is from RNAcentral. Lineage: Eukaryota; Metazoa; Chordata; Lepidosauria; Squamata; Viperidae.